UAUCUUUUUGAAAAAUGUGAAAAAAUUAUAUGUUAUGAAGUGCGUUAUUGGUCUAAGUGACAUAAGUUUCAUUUUGGGAUGGAUCUGGGAUCAAACACUAGAACAUUGUGAAUUAGGCCAUGUUCACUAAAACUACUCUAGUAAGGCAUUAACACAAUUCCACUUUUUCCACAAAUUGGCAACCCUGCUGUAUAAAAAGUAUUAUUCACAGGGGGCUGUAACUUUGAGAAUUCACUUUCCUGAACCUGUACUGUUAAAGCCCUAAGUUUCAUUGAAUUCGGUGAUGGUGAUGUCAGCAGGUGUGUGAAAUGGCAUUGAAUGACCCGGAAGUAAUAAAUUCUAGGAUUCAGGCAGUUAUUCCCAGAGAAAACCUCAACCAUUCUACGCCCACCAUAUCGCGCGGCGAGAAGACUCAGUAAGGCAUACUCGGAGCCAAGUGGAGGUUACCUGUAGGCGGAAAAAGUUGAGCGACUGUUAUUUUUACCCCUUGUUAGAUCGAUAUUUGGCUUUGUAACAGCAUCGAGAAGUACUAUUAUAUGCACGAUUUCUUUUUCAAGGAUGGAGUUAAAAAGAAACUGGAGAAAAUAAAGAAGAAUCAUCUUUAUAUUUAUGCAACAAGAAAGAAAAAUGAAGCUACUCAUCUCAAAGCAUACUGGAGUCAAAGGUCAGUUUGUUUUGUAAUAUGUCAUACAAAAUACAGAUUGCGUUCAUUAGCCUGCGUAGUCGAAACUUAGUCUACCUUGUGAUCUCUCACCUCCAACACCUUCCCCACCAUAAUAUUGAGUUAUCUUAGAUGAACAGUCGCAUAUUGAAAAGUUUAUUUAAAAUAUAUAGGUUAAAUAUGUAUGUUUAUAAUAUGUAAAGCAUCCAUAAGUUAUUAGUUUGGACAGACUGAGCUCCCUGUUGGGAAGGGGGAGGGGCGGAAACAAACUCUGGCUCCUCACAGUCGAAGCAUAUAAUAUGUGUUUGUAUUAACGUUGUAGUAUUAACCUUUAAAAUGUGUAAUGUGUACAUUUUUUAUUUGGCACUGAAUUAUCAAUUUAUUCACAGGAAUAAAACUAUACCUAAACAAAACCAUGUCAAUGAAGAAUUGGAAAACCAGAGCCUAUCAAGAAUUCACUGCAGCCAUCAAGAACUGAUUGAAAACGAAAUAACUUCCGGAGUGCAUGAAGUAGUGUACUAUGAAGAAAGCUAUCCGGCAAAGAAAAAAUUUAAACUUGAUAGCUGUAGUUAUCAAGUUCCGGAAGGUAGAGACUCACGAUGACACCUUGGCAGCCAGGGAGUAAAAACGGCACAAGAAAUUUCUUCAAGAGAAAAUGACACAUCAGAUGAAGAGAAUAACUACUCUGUAACCAAUGUCCUGCACAAUGAAGAUGGGCAGUGUAUGAUGGAGUUAAAAAGAAACUGGAGAAAAUAAAGAAGAAUCAUCUUUAUAUUUAUGCAACAAGAAAGAAAAAUGAAGCUACUCAUCUCAAAGCAUACUGGAGUCAAAGGAAUAAAACUAUACCUAAACAAAACCAUGUCAAUGAAGAAUUGGAAAACCAGAGCCUAUCAAGAAUUCACUGCAGCCAUCAAGAACUGAUUGAAAACGAAAUAACUUCCGGAGUGCAUGAAGUAGUGUACUAUGAAGAAAGCUAUCCGGCAAAGUGAGUAACUGUUUACAUUUUAUUUAAAACAAAUCUAAGUUAUUAUUUUAGAGAAAGUAAGAUUGGCAACACAAACAGUUCUAUUAAUUUAACAAAUAUGUUUUG
Molecule: long non-coding RNA, 1751 nt
Organism: Bacillus rossius redtenbacheri
Lineage: Eukaryota; Metazoa; Arthropoda; Insecta; Phasmatodea; Bacillidae
Exons: 4
Source: RefSeq, a predicted model, not a curated record